RNAcentral lists this ribosomal RNA (393 nucleotides) under uncultured bacterium. RNAcentral describes it as "partial 16S ribosomal RNA". It matches the Rfam family "Bacterial small subunit ribosomal RNA", at positions 523 to 918 of the family's 1533-position model. The record is from RNAcentral.
AUACGGAGGAUCCGAGCGUUAUCCGGAUUUAUUGGGUUUAAAGGGUGCGUAGGCGGCCUUUUAAGUCAGCGGUGAAAGUCUGUGGCUCAACCAUAGAAUUGCCGUUGAAACUGGGAGGCUUGAGUAUGUUUGAGGCAGGCGGAAUGCGUGGUGUAGCGGUGAAAUGCUUAGAUAUCACGCAGAACCCCGCUUGCGAAGGCCGCCUGCCAAGCCAUGACUGACGCUGAUGCACGAAAGCGUGGGGAUCAAACAGGAUUAGAUACCCUGGUAGUCCACGCAGUAAACGAUGAUCACUAGCUGUUUGCGAUACACUGUAAGCGGCACAGCGAAAGCGUUAAGUGAUCCACCUGGGGAGUACGCCGGCAACGGUGAAACUCAAAUGAAUUGACGGGG